GUUAAUUUAGACCUAAUGAGUAGCUGACAGAAUAGGGGGUGUGUCUAGGUGGAGGAUGAGAUACAGAGCCCGUUGAACCAUCCCACAACCUGCUCCAGUAUCUUUUUCUUGAAGGUACUAACAACAAGCCCAAGAAGUUUCAGGGAAAGUGUAUACCUGUUUCUGCCAGCAGUUUCACAUUUAUUCUUGACCAAGAUACUGGGAAGGCUAUCUCUCUUGAGGCUUUCUUAAGAUGCAUUUCUUGUAGUGGGAUGUAUAAUUUCAGCAGAGAUCUGACAGUGGCAGAGGUCUCUGGGUAUGAGAUCACUAAUCCUCAGCUACAGAACUCAGGCAAGAUCCCCAAAAGUCUGUUUAACCAUUUUGGUUAACCAGAUAUCCUAAAUUUCUGAGGUCAAUGGCAGUCAUCUGAUUUGAUAGAGAAAGAAAUAGAAGUGAAAAGGGCAUUGUGGUCAUCUGAAGUUAUAAAUGACAGUGACUGAAACUCUGGCCCAGGAAGUGCUGACUUUUAACAUUCUUUGAGAAUGUCCUAAGAUGAUAGGAUGAAUAAAUGGUAUCUCACCAUCCAGGAACAGAGGAUAGAGGGGUUGGUUGUAGGGGACUUCUUACGCCACCAGCCCCUUCCCUGUGGACUGACCACACUUGGUGGUUUAGGUGUAAAUGCAGCCUCUUAGGUGUUUUCCAGCUGUUUUGUUGCCAUGGCAGUGUGUUUGUUAUGCCACUGUUUCCUUCUGGCCUCUCACAGCUCAGUUGCUAGUCUCUGUUUCAGGAUAGGGUAUUAACUAUCUGGGCAGCAGCAGCUAGUAGACUUUUUCCUCCAUCCAAGAGACUAAGCCAUUUAGUUCCCUAGUCUCCCAGCUACUGUAGAUGCUUACCUCUGCCUCUGAUAUUCGAUUCCUGGAAGUCUUAUUUUUCCAAGAGUUUGGUCUUCUCAGCUAUUUCCUAUAGAAGCAAAUUUCCUUUCACCAGGAAUGUGAGGUAUAGUCAGGUUCUCCUCUUCAGUUUCCCUCCAUUCAUCUCCUUUGAUACAGCUAGAAAGUUCUCAGCUCUUUCCCCAAGAAUCAUCAAAAGAGGGGAAAUCACAUAAAGACUGGGCAGAUGGUGGGUGCAGAUUUAGCCGAAGAGUUCAGAUCUUUGAGAAGGAGAUGCAUUCAUGACAACCAAGGUUAGAUGAUCUAUUGAGAUGGGCCUAUCCUUUGGGCCUCUUUCAGGAUAAGCUUUCAAGCAUUGCUUUUAGGGGAGGGGCCACUAUGAGUCUUAAGUCAUAAACAGGGAUAAAGGAAGGAAAUGAAGAUUGUAAAAGGAGAGGAGGUUAAUAGAGGUGUAUAUAGAGUAGGAACCCCAACAGUUAAGAUCCCAGGUACCCACCCCUAUGAAAUUUAUGCAUGAGCCCUUAAAGGAAGAGGGUGACCAGUGGAACUUAUGAAUGGGAAUAACUCCUCAUGACCACCUAGUAUUUCUCCACGAGGUUUUUUGCUGUUGGAGACUGACUCCUAGGUGGGAGCAGCUGCUAUGGUCAUUACUCAGCUUCAACCCAAGGACCCAGAUGCCUGGUUAUUGGUGAUCCUGCUUUAAGUCUUAGAUGAAUUAUUUGAUGUCUGUAAAACUGUACCUCCCUUUUAAACUUAAUUUUUAUCUUACAGCAGCAGCCAGUAAGGAGGAGAAGGGGAGAGAGCUCAUUCGAUAUUAACAACAUUGUCAUCCCAAUGUCUGUUGCUGCAACAACUCGCGUAGAGAAACUGCAAUACAAGGAAAUCCUUACUCCCAGCUGGCGGGAGGUUGAUCUUCAGUCUCUGAAGGGGAGUCCUGAUGAGGAGAAUGAGGAGAUUGAGGACCUAUCCGACGCAGCCUUCGCCGCCCUGCAUGCCAAAUGUGAGGAGAUGGAGAGGGCACGGUGGCUGUGGACCACGAGUGUGCCACCCCAGCGGCGGGGUAGCAGGUGAUGGGGCAGGCUUGGGUCCCCAGGGCCUGUGG
This 1971-nucleotide small RNA is filed under the name Pongo abelii (Sumatran orangutan). Its description in RNAcentral is "retained intron". Lineage: Eukaryota; Metazoa; Chordata; Mammalia; Primates; Hominidae. The record is from RNAcentral.